GGCGCCUUUGAAACCAUCUCCUAGGUUUCUUCGGAAGGACUUCGGUCCGUGUACUUCUAGCACAAGAUGCUAGUUUUAGAGUACGGGUGCCCCCCCCACUCUGUGGGGGGCCUCCAAAAGGAG
Non-coding RNA from Glycine soja, 123 nucleotides. Lineage: Eukaryota; Viridiplantae; Streptophyta; Magnoliopsida; Fabales; Fabaceae. The record is from Rfam.